RNAcentral lists this ribosomal RNA (520 nucleotides) under uncultured Glomus. Its description in RNAcentral is "SSU rRNA". It matches the Rfam family "Eukaryotic small subunit ribosomal RNA", at positions 569 to 1088 of the family's 1831-position model. The record is from RNAcentral. Lineage: Eukaryota; Fungi; Glomeromycota; Glomeromycetes; Glomerales; Glomeraceae.
AGCAGCCGCGGUAAUUCCAGCUCCAAUAGCGUAUAUUAAAGUUGUUGCAGUUAAAAAGCUCGUAGUUGAAUUUCGGGAUCAAUAUAUCGGUCGUGCCAUCGGUACGUACUGGUAUCAUUGGUUUCUCCUUUCUGACGAACCAUGAUGUCAUUAAUUUGGUGUUAUGGGAAGUUAGGACUGUUACUUUAGAAAAAAUUAGAGUGUUUAAAGCAGGCUUUAGCUUGAAUACAUUAGCAUGGAAUAAUGAAAUAGGACGUUCGAACCUAUUUUGUUGGUUUCUAGGAUCAACGUAAUGAUUAAUAGGGAUAGUUGGGGGCAUUAGUAUUCAAUUGUCAGAGGUGAAAUUCUUGGAUUUAUUGAAGACUAACUACUGCGAAAGCAUUUGCCAAGGAUGUUUUCAUUAAUCAAGAACGAAAGUUAGGGGAUCGAAGACGAUCAGAUACCGUCGUAGUCUUAACCAUAAACUAUGCCGACUAGGGAUCGGAUGAUGUUAAUUUUUUAAUGUACUCAUUCGGCGCCU